AGCUCUGUAGCGUUGACCAGGACGGGCAUGGUCAGAUAGAAGCCACAGAGAGGGGCAUGGAAAGCCCUGUGUUUGGGGUGGUGUGUUUCAGGAAAGGCUUCCUGGCCCCGAUGGACUUCAAGAUGCACCUGCAAGUCAUUUCCCUAAUUUAGCAGGAAGCCUUGCAGUCUUGCUGCAGUUGGCCAUGGUUUGAAGGGAUUGGAGACUUUGUUGCCAGUUUGCCUGGUGUGGAAGAGAGACCCUGCGGUCAGUCACUGAUGACUGCUACUUCAGAGUGCCUCUGGAGCCACGGCUAGGACAGGGGUCCCUCGGGCAUUCUGUCUGGCCUCCAGCACAGCGGCUGUUGUAACAACAGGAAAUCCUGCUGGGCCUGGAAGAAAUGUCAGUGUGGGAAGAUCUCCAGCAAGGCAUCUCCAUAACUCUUUUCCUGUCUUCCUCUUGAAAGACCAGAUUUGAAAGAGUCAGGAGCAGCGGCAGCGGGCGAUCGGGCCGUGCGGAGCCUCGGGCGCGGCCUCGCCUCCCGGCCCGGCGCCCGCAUCGGCACCGCCGCCAGCACAGCGCC
This is a non-coding RNA of Microcebus murinus (gray mouse lemur), 562 nucleotides long. Lineage: Eukaryota; Metazoa; Chordata; Mammalia; Primates; Cheirogaleidae. The record is from RefSeq and is a predicted model, not a curated record.